AAGAGUUUGAUCAUGGCUCAGAUUGAACGCUGGCGGCAGGCCUAACACAUGCAAGUCGAACGGUAACAGGAAGCAGCUUGCUGCUUUGCUGACGAGUGGCGGACGGGUGAGUAAUGUCUGGGAAACUGCCUGAUGGAGGGGGAUAACUACUGGAAACGGUGGCUAAUACCGCAUAACGUCGCAAGACCAAAGAGGGGGACCUUCGGGCCUCUUGCCAUCAGAUGUGCCCAGAUGGGAUUAGCUUGUUGGUGAGGUAACGGCUCACCAAGGCGACGAUCCCUAGCUGGUCUGAGAGGAUGACCAGCCACACUGGAACUGAGACACGGUCCAGACUCCUACGGGAGGCAGCAGUGGGGAAUAUUGCACAAUGGGCGCAAGCCUGAUGCAGCCAUGCCGCGUGUAUGAAGAAGGCCUUCGGGUUGUAAAGUACUUUCAGCGGGGAGGAAGGUGUUGUGGUUAAUAACCGCAGCAAUUGACGUUACCCGCAGAAGAAGCACCGGCUAACUCCGUGCCAGCAGCCGCGGUAAUACGGAGGGUGCAAGCGUUAAUCGGAAUUACUGGGCGUAAAGCGCACGCAGGCGGUCUGUCAAGUCGGAUGUGAAAUCCCCGGGCUCAACCUGGGAACUGCAUUCGAAACUGGCAGGCUUGAGUCUUGUAGAGGGGGGUAGAAUUCCAGGUGUAGCGGUGAAAUGCGUAGAGAUCUGGAGGAAUACCGGUGGCGAAGGCGGCCCCCUGGACAAAGACUGACGCUCAGGUGCGAAAGCGUGGGGAGCAAACAGGAUUAGAUACCCUGGUAGUCCACGCCGUAAACGAUGUCUACUUGGAGGUUGUGCCCUUGAGGCGUGGCUUCCGGAGCUAACGCGUUAAGUAGACCGCCUGGGGAGUACGGCCGCAAGGUUAAAACUCAAAUGAAUUGACGGGGGCCCGCACAAGCGGUGGAGCAUGUGGUUUAAUUCGAUGCAACGCGAAGAACCUUACCUGGUCUUGACAUCCACGGAAGUUUUCAGAGAUG
RNAcentral lists this ribosomal RNA (1012 nucleotides) under Salmonella enterica. Its description in RNAcentral is "bacterial SSU rRNA". It matches the Rfam family "Bacterial small subunit ribosomal RNA", at positions 1 to 1008 of the family's 1533-position model. Lineage: Bacteria; Pseudomonadati; Pseudomonadota; Gammaproteobacteria; Enterobacterales; Enterobacteriaceae. The record is from RNAcentral.